This 19006-nucleotide long non-coding RNA is filed under the name Eucalyptus grandis. RNAcentral's name for it is "long non-coding RNA (EGRA_LNC006379)". The record is from RNAcentral. Lineage: Eukaryota; Viridiplantae; Streptophyta; Magnoliopsida; Myrtales; Myrtaceae.
AUGAAUUAGACAGGAUAUAUCACAGAGAAUAGACAGACAAAUCUUUAUCCCCACAUAUGAAAAGCAACAAAUAACCAGAAUGAAACCUAAAAGAGGCAUGCACUGUGCUUUCGAAUCUUCCAGCAGUCUUACUCUCAUGACACUAGACCCACGGUAUAAGUGUAGAUGCAGCAGGACACUUCAAUGUCUAUGCACUGAUCAUUCUGCUUAAAGUCCAAUCAAGAACAUGACCGGAUGAAAAUGCAGGUCCAAACUGAAAAUCGCCUUUGGUCGACAUACGAAAAGAGGCAGAUCAUGAACAACUCCAGAACAGAUAUGGAGACUAAGAGCCUGGCCUUAAGAGCUUUGGAUUCAAAUCAUCUGUUCCCGAGGCAAAUGAUUAGACUUGAGAUUGAGAGUGGAUGUAUGUAACCUAAAACGAGUGGCUGAUAUCAGGUGAACAUGCCGGUGGACUCAAUCUUUUCAACUUCCUCUGAUAUCCACUCAUUGCAGAACUCUUUAGACUAUUGCGACGCUUCACCGGCCGAUUACAACGCAAACAGCCCUAGUAAAUUAGGAACAUCUGCACGCUAAAGAACCAUCCGUAUGUCCCCGUGCUCUGAUCUCAAGACCGCAAGAAAACAGCAAUAGAAAGAAAAUAACGAUGCAAGAAGCCAAGAGUCGAGAGCAUUACCGAACAGAGUGUAGUCGCCAUCUUGAACCACAGGAAGCGAUCCGAAGGGCUACACAGACGCGCGCGCACACACGAGAUCCGAAUCAGCGUCAAUCAGACAAGACUACCCACGAAAGGAGACACAAUGAAAAUUCAAGCGAUCAAGAGUUUGACCGAAAGCGAAGUUGGAGUUUCAAGAACGACCGGGACAGACCUGGAGCUUGAGGUACUCGGGGGCUUUGUGCUCGCCUUUGAGGAGGUCGACGCCGACGGUCUCGAACUCGACGCCCUUCUCGAGCAGGCACACCAGUGCCCGCUUCGGCGACGCGUAGUCAGGUCCGUACACCUUCACCACCAUCGUCACUCUCGCUCUCUCUCUGUGCUUCUCUCUUCCUUCUUGACGGACCUAGUCAGCGACUCUCUCCGCUGUGUCUCCGUGGCGCUAUAAAGAGGUCUCUUUGUUAGAGCAGCAGAAGAAGGUGCACAAGUCAAUGAUGCACCAACCCACAAUUAAUCCAAGGUUAGGUAAUUGGUCCCCAUCAUUAUGAAGUUUCGCAUUUCGCAUUUGCUUCCAUGAGUUUGAAUCCCUCUGUAAGUUCAACUUAUGUGGAAAUACCGCGACUCUUUUGGCUGUGUAUGCUAUCUGGGUAAAGUUGGGAUGGCAAGUAGGGCCUCCUUUGGCUGUCAAGGGAUUUAUUGCCCUAGAUUAAAAAUAUCCCAUAAAAGAGAUGAAAUAAAUAUAGAUAGAAUUUUUUAUAUUUAUGAUAUAAAAAUCAUUUUUGUCUAAUAACAAAUUUCUUCGAAUUUAAAUAAUUAAAUAUAAACAAUAUAUGAGUUCUAAUAUUAAAAGGGAAAUUCAAAAUAACAACGAUUUUCAUUUUAUUUUAUUUUUAUUUAUCCGAAUUUAUUUUCUAUAUAUACAUACUUAGCAUUUAUAUCUAUCACAUAUUUUAGGUAUAUUGGUAUGGUUAAUUUAUUAAGAAAUGAUGGAAAGGAAUUAAAAAAAAAAGGAAACAAAACAAAAGAGUGAAAAUAAUAUAAAAAUAAAUAAAUAAAAUUGAAGUAGGCGAGAGAGUUGAAACACUAAUUAAGAUUCGCGAAGGUAAAUGAUCAUGUUUUCUUUCUCUUAGUAGAUUUGACAAGUGUUGACUAAUCCACCUAUCAAUGUUGUCAUAGCUCAUUUAGGUUUGUCGUCAAAAUCGAAUUCAUGACUUUGAAAUGUUGCAAUGAGCUCAUUUGUUAUUUAAGAUUUGGAUUGUCCAAUAAUUAUGCAUUUAUUUAUGGAUGUUAUCUCUGUCUACUUAUGGUUUCUUUAACAAUUAAUGUAAGAUAUUCUUAACAUCUCCAUUUGUACAUUUUCAUGUUCAUUUAUAUUGAUAUACUAUUCCUAGCAAAUAUUUGACAUGAUAGGAUAUGAAAAUAUUCAGUUUUAUUACAACAAUUCACCACAUAAUAGAUAAGAUUUUGUUAAUUCCAUAUCUUACCAUAUCACAUUCUAUUCAAUCAUAUCGUAAUUAGAAAUCCAAAUGAACAAAUACACCUAAAAUUGUUAAAAUUUGUCAUGCUCCAUGGGACAUUUGUAAUCUUGAAAGAUCUGUCUUUUGUCGAUUUCUUUUGCACUAAAUUGGUGUCGCACCUAUGCUCUACACCUUUGAUUAGUUUCGGCCGAAAGUUUUCAAUAAUUGUCACAAGAUGAAAAGCACCGUGCUCAUUUUUUUCACAUGGCCCACCUGCUUCUGGAAAGGCAAUUACCAAUUUGCUCGAAUAGGGUAGUAGGUGAGAGGUCAAAUUGGCCUAUGUCCGCAAGCCAUAGAUUCUAAUAAUCGGUCUUCUUUUCAAUCUAAAUUAUUCGAGGGAGUAGGAAGAUUUGGCCAACCGAAAAUGCACACUUGAGCUGUCCUUGCAUCAUUAACAAAAUGGUUUUCUUUCUCAACUUCCUUUGCACCUGCAAUUGAGUAAACUAUUGAUCACCUAACCUCCACAGGAGAACAAGCAAGAAAGGGGUAAUCGAUUAUUAUAUGUUCGACGCCAUUAUUCACCCAAAUCAAUCAUCGCGAGUGAGAAUUUAAGAAACCUCAUAACAUUUUUCAUGUGACAACGGAAUUAGAAGAGCAAAAAGCAUCAUUGUUCGGACGAAAUACUGCUAUGAGAAAGACUAUCGGUUCGAGUGUUAGAAGAGAGGUGUUUUUUGGAAGGAUCAUUUAUGUGACUCUCUCUCCUCUGAAACUUUUUCGUAUUUGAUUCGUCAAACCUAAUUGCAAAAGUAAACCGUGAUAAUUUCACCCUGCAAUGCUGGUCAAGUACGCUGCUUUGGUUGGCUUCCUGGCUGCCCACUGAUUAGGGCGAGUCCUGAAAAUUACUGUCUUGGAUUGAAUCAAGCCGAGGAAUGCGGAGAAACCUUAUAACGAAUAUUGAUCUCCUGCUGAUGCUCAGAGGCACACCAUCGUAAAAGACAAAUCGUAAUAUUUGGUCUUUCUUUGUUUUAUUUGGUCAAAAGUGGGCUUUUUCAUAUUUAAAGAAAGGAGAAAAGAAGAGUAAUAAUGGGACAGCCCGCACCGAGAGAGAAAGGAAAAGGAAACGCGAUAGAAAAGGAAGACGAGAGGGAAAAGGUAAAGAGGAAGAACUAGCGCACACACCUUGGAAUUAUCGUCAGGUUGGAUUGACUUCAUUUUUAUGAUCAGAAUUUACGGCAUUUGUUUGUUUAUUCGGAGUAGUUUUCAAAAUCAAGAUACAAAUUCGAAAUCAUGUGAAAUUUAAACUACGAAUUCAGUUUUUGAGUUGUUAGAUGUGGAAUUGCAUGGAAAUCAUGAUUAGGGCGUUAUGGAGUCAUGAAAUAUGAUGGGAAUUCCUUACCAAAAUUAUUUGAAGUAACUUUUAAAUCAUAUUUGAUGGGAUUUAUUUGAAGUAACUUUUUAGUCGAAGUGAACUUUAGAAAUUUCUACAGAGCUCUACAUUGUGAUUAGCUUUGAUUCAUCGCAAUGGGCGAGCGAUUUGUUGUGCAUGGGUGUAAUUUUGUUAGGGAUUAAACUUAGUUCAGCCAAUUCGUGGUUGAGAUAGUGUUUUACUUGAUUUUGAUGUAAAUUCUAAUUUAAUUUAUAAAAUUACAAGAUCGUCAGCUCUUUUGAUUUUGGGUAUUUUCAAGUGAAUGAUACUAUCCCUUUUUUGAAUUUCUAAACUCAUAUGUUGAAAAUGAAAGGGAUUAGACAUAUUAUGUGUAAAGUAUGAUUUAAUUAAAUGGCAGAAAUGAUGUUCAUUGCAUAUUUGAUACAUAAAAUUUGAAUCGGGUAUUUAUUGCCCUUUUGAUUAUUUGAAAUAGCGUGGAAAGCAUUUUUGGAAACAAUUUACGAGUUGAUUAUUAUGAAAUAAUUUGGGAAGUGCUUUAUUGCAUAAAAGUUAUAUGUAUUGAUUUGUGAAAUUGAUUUAUAAAGGUAUUAUAUUGCAAAAGGAUAUAUGUUUGAUAUUAUGAAAACCAUUUAUGAUAUCGAUUCUGGAUUAGUUUUGAGGAAGAAAUUGAUUUUUGAAAGGAUAUAUGUUUUGGUUUGUGUCAAAGUAUUUUGAUUAUGGGAUGGAUCUGGGUUUGGUAUUGUGGAUUAUUAGAAUAUGAUGGUUUGAUUCUUAUUAUUGUUGCAAACUUAGUUAGGAGUUUUUAAGGCUUAAGGAUAUUAUUAUGGGUCAAACCACUAGCUGCUAAUAGGCGGAGACAUUGCCUUGGUCCUCUUUCACCAAUCGUGAUUAUGGUUGAAUAUUAAGCAUAAAAUGAAUCAGUGAAAUAGCUUAUUGAUGUGUGGAGCGAGUUUCAAGAACAGAGACAGGCCUGAACUUGAGGAAUUCAGGGGCUCUGUUCUCGUCCUUGAAGAUAUUGAUGGGAACGGUCUCGAACUCGACGCCUUCUCGACCAGGCACACCAGCACUCGCUUCGGAUUUGCAUAAUCAGGCCCGUACACCUUCACCACCAUUUUUUCUCUCUUCUUCUCUCUUGUCGACGGACCAGUUGAUUUCCAAAUAUCUUUCAGGAUCGACUCUCUCCUUCUGCAUCUGGGUUUUUAAAGGAAGCCCUUUUCAGAGGAUUAAACCAUGUUGCACACGACACCGUCAUGCACCAACAUACUGCUCGCGACCCGAUUCCUUUGGGGAUCCAAGGUUAGAUAAUCGGUCAACGUUGGUAUGCUACUAAUUACCUUUGUCGAAUUUUACUUCGCAUAUGCCUUGGAAGGCUUUGCAACAUUUCCUCUGACUUAUCUUUCAUAGAUUCUUCUCUGGCAAUGCGCAUGCUAUGACAUAUUUGGACGGUAGACUUGAAAUUCAUUAUGCUCGCACAAAUUUCCGCAGAGAAAACGACAGUCUUUAAAACUUUAGCCUAAGUACAACGUCAUCUUUGACUUUUAUUAAUUUAGUGAAUUCCUUGAAUUUCUAAUGUCCAAUCUAAUCCUUAAACCCUUUCGCAUUUUCCCAAUUAAGUCCAUCUAGCCAAUUUUAGCUAAAAAUCACUAAACUAGACAUUAACUAUAUUAGGUAGUACAGGUGACAUUGACGUAAAUAAUUUUUUAAUUUUUUUUAACAUUUUUAAUGAACUUUUUAUUUUUUAUUUUUCUUUUCUUUUUCUAAUCCUAGGCCGGCAACCCUCGCCUUGUCUAGGCUAGGGGCCCUCGAGCUGCGGUGGUUGUUUUUGUAGCAAUGGUCUCCCUCCUCCUUUGAGGAGUUUGUGUUCUGAUCUUCAUGCCGUGCUUGUCUCUUGUUAGCUUGGCUUCCUUUUUCUGGUUGCCUUGUGUUGUUGAUUUUACAUCUCGGCAUCCGUCCACUCAUUAUGUCCUCUCAUCUUGAGUGUAUGUUUUCGAUGCCGUAACCUUUUGUACAUUUGGCAUUUCCCUAUAUAUUUAUUACCUCUUACCAAAAAAAAAAAAAAAAAAAAAACAGGUGAAGGAUGCCCUCGCCUUACCCAAGCCAAGCAAGGUUGUCACAGCCCUAGCCUAAAUCUAGGCAAAGGCCAACCCUCUCACUUGUGGCCUGCAACUUAAGUAACAUCGAUCAGUAUGUGACAUGCAACACAACAUAAGACAACGUGCGAUAUGGCACAACACGAUACGUUGACACAUUAAUUCUCGAAAAAUAGAGAAUUCCAACACGUUAGGAUGCAUUGUAUAUUAAAUAUAUAUAUUUUAUAUAUACAUGAUAAAUUAUCAUUUUUAUGAUUAUUUUAAUAAAUUUAAUUUGAUUUAGAUUCGGAAUAAAUAAAUAAUAAAAAAGAGCCUAGAAUGAAUUUACACUAAAAACAUUAAUUUACCGUUUGUUGAUAUGAUUCAUUGUUUCAAUUUAACAAAUCUAACUAUAUUCCGUUCAAAUAAUCUAUAAAACUUGAAGGAAAAAAAAAUCACAUUCCAUUAUUAAAUUUAACAUUUAACAAGAAAUCGAAAAAAAAAAACAAUUCACAUUUCACCAUCAAAUAUAACAAGAAGUCGUUAUUUCCCCCUUUAUUUAUUUUUAUUUUUAUUUUAUUUUUUACAUAUUUAUAUUUUGACUCCUCGUUUAGUGAAACUUUUUAAAAUUAACCUAAUGUGUAUCAAAAUCACUUGUCAGAAUUAUAGACUCACAUGUCGGAUCAUGUCGGGCCGUAUGUCGGAUUUUCCGACACCUGUUGACUACAUAUCAGAAUGUGUGGGAGCGUGUCGAAGUGUUUGACACAACACGAAAGAUCUUGGAAAAUGAACUAGGGUUAGGAAAAAAAAUAAAGAAAAGGAAAAACAAACAAAUAAAUAAAAUUAAAAUAUUCAAAUAUUAUUAAAAAUUGUGUAUGUUAGCGCUAGUCGUUGCCAGCCAUAUCACAUACAAUGUCUGAUCCACAUUAGUAAUUUUAUGUCAACAUUGGUUGAAGGAACUCAAUUGGCAAAAGUCGAAGAUGUUUAGACUCAAUUAACAAAAUUGAAAAGUUUAUGACUAAAUUGGCAAAAUUACUAUAGAUUUAUGACUUUUUGGAUAAUUUUUCCUCUUCCCUUGCAUGCAAUGCGGACUGAACUUAUCUCCUAGAGUGAGUCUUAACAGCUCAUCUAACACCAGUUCAGUGAGCGCUGGACAUGUGAACGAACAUUUAUGAAGUUGCUCUUUCCAAGUUGUAAAAUAUCCACGAAAGUUGGUUAGUAGGUGGUUAAUUUUUAAUUUCACCAAAGUCACUGGCAUUGUACUAAUUAGCCGCGUACAUAGCCCGACAAAACACGACACCGCCAUGAAUAAUACAACACCAAAGAGGUCCACAGCAGGAUCAUUUACUGGAGAAAUCCCACUUUUACACAUGACCUUCACAAACCAGACUCAACAAAAGCUUAUUUGAUAGUCCAAAUCUGCCGAUUCAGAUCGAGUAGAAACAUACUAAGUAGGCACAAAGAGACUCGCUAUCCUUCACAUAGACCAAGGACUCGGGUGCACCCGGCAUACCUGAUAAAACAGUCCUAAUACUGACCGGGCCAGAGCUCAAGGACCUUCUUCCAAGAAGGCCUGCUCGAGAUAUCAUCCCACCAACCGCUCACAUGCUUCCGGUCCCUUAUCAGGUACUCCUUCCGCAUCUUGCCCAUCAAGUACUGGGUGAACGGAAGGUGGCUCAGGUCCGCAAGGCUGAAGAAAUCCCCUGCUAGGUACUUGCUCUUUGACAGCCUCUCCUCGUAGAUAUCCAGAACCCGACAGAGCUUGUCCUCGCUCUCUUUGAGCUGCUUCGGAUCCGGGGUAAGCCCAAUAAGCGGGCCGUAAACAAGAUUGUGGACAAGGUCGUAGAUUGGCGGAUGGAAGUUGUGGGCCUCGACUUCGAGCCACUGCUCAACGAGCCCCCUCUCCUCGAUUGUCUUCCCCAGCAGUUCAGUCCCUUGGUGCUUGUAUUUCUCGGCAUAAUACCUUAUGAUGGCCCGCGAAUCUGUAUGAAUUAGACAGGAUAUAUCACAGAGAGUAGACAGACAAAUCUUUAUCCCCACAUAUGAAAAGCAACAAAAAACCAGAAUGAAACCUAAAAGAGGCAUGCACUCUGCUUUUGAAUUUACCAGCAGUCUUUACUCUCAUGACAUUAGACCCACGGUAUAAGUGUAGAUGCAGCAGGACAUUUCAAUGUCUAUGCACUGAUCAUUCUGCUUAAACUCCAAUCAAGAACAUAACCGGAUGAAAAUGCAGGUCCAAACGGAAAAUCAGCGGCCUUUGGUCGACAUAUGAAAAGAGACAGAUCAUGAACAACUCCAGAACGGAUAUGGACACUACGAGCCUGGCCUUAAGAGCUUCGGAUUCAAAUCAUCUGUUCCUCAGGCAAAUGAUUUGACUUGAGAUUGAGAGUGGAUGUAUGUAACCUAAAAUGAGUGGCUGAUAUCAAGUGAACAUGCCGGAGGACUCAAAUCUUUUCAACUUCCUCUGAUAUCCACUCGUUGUAGAACUCUUUAGACUAUUGCGACGCUUCACUGGCCGAUUACAACGCAAACAGCCCUAGUAAAUUAGGAACAUCUGCAUGCUAAAGAACCAUCCGUAUGUCCCCGUGCUCUGAUCUCAAGACCGCAAGAAAACAGCAAUAGAAAGAAAAGAACGAUGCAAGAAGCCAAGAGUCGAGAGCAUUACCGAACAGAGCGUAGUCGCCAUCUUGAACCACAGGAACCGAUCCGAAGGGCUACACAGGCGCGCACACACGAGAUCCGAAUCAGCGUCAAUCAGACAAGACACACUUUGAAUGCCAAGUACCCACGAAAGGAGACAUAAUGAAAAGUCAAGCUGUCAAGAGUUUGACCGAAAGAGAAGUUGGAGUUUCAAGAACGACCGGGACAGACCUGGAGCUUGAGGUACUCCGGGGCUUUGUGCUCGCCUUUGAAGAGGUCAACGAUGACGGUCUCGAACUCGACAUCCUUCUCGAUCAGGCACACGAGCACCCGCUUCGGCGACGCGUAGUCAGGGCCGUACACCUUCACCACCAUCCUCACUCUCGCUCCCUCACUCUCUCUCUCUCUGCUUCUUUCUUCCUUCUUGACGGACCUGGUCAGCGACUCUUUCCGCUGUGUCUCCCGGGUUUUAUAAAGAAGUCUCUUUGUUAGAGCAGCAGACAGAAGCUGCACACGUCAAUGAUGUACCAACCCACCACCAAUCCAAGGUUAGUUAAUUGGUUCCCAUCACUAAAGAGUUUUGCAUUUUGCAUUUACUUCCAUGAGUUUGAAUCCCUCUGCAAGUUAAGACUUAUGUGGAAAUACUGCGACUCUUUGGCCGUGUAUGCUCUCUGAGUAAAGUUGGGAUGGCAAGUAGGGCCUCCUUUGCCUGUCCAGGGAUGUAUUGCCCUAGAUUAAAAAUAUCCCAUUAAAGAGAUUAGAUAAAUAUAGAUAGAAUUUAUUAAAUUUAUGAUACAAAAACUAUUUUUAUCGAAUAACAAAUUUCUUCGAAUUUAAAUAAUUAAAUAUAAACAAUAUAUGAGUGCUAAUAUUAAAAGGGAAAUUCAAAAUAACAAUGAUUUUGGUUUCACUUUUAUUUAUUUAUCUAUCACAUAUUUUAGGUAUAUUGGUAUGGUUAAUUUAUUAAGAAAUGAUGGAAAGGAAUGAAAAAAGAAACAAAAAAAGAGAGUGAAAAUAAUAUAAAAAUAAGUAAAUAAAAUUGAAGUAGGCGAGGGAGUCAAAACACUAAUUAAGAUUCGCAAAGGUAAAUGAUCAUAUUUUCUUUCUCUUAGUAGAUUUGACGAGCGUUGACUAAUCUACCUAUCAAUGUUGUCAUAGCUCAUUCACAUUUGUCGUCAAAGUCAAACUCAUGACUCUGAAAUGUUGCAAUGAGCUCAUUUAUUGUUUAAGAUUUGGAUCGUCCAAUAAUUAUGGAUUUAUUUAUGGAUGUUAUCUCUGUCUACUUAAGGUUUCUUCAGCAAUUAACUAUAAGAUGUUCUUAACAUCUCCCUUUGUACAUUUUCAUAUUCAUUUAUAUUGAUAUACUAUUCAUACCAAAUAUUAGACAUGAUAGAAUAUGAAAAUAUUUGGUUCUAUUACUGUAAUUUACCACGUAAUAGACAAGAUUUUGUUAAUUUCAUAUCCUACUAUAUCAUAUUAUAUUCAGUCUUAUCUUAACUAGAAAUCCAAAUGAACAAAGAUAGCCUAAAAUUGUUAAAAUCCAUCAUGCUCCAUGGGACAUUUGUAAUCCUGAAGAUCUGUCUUUUGUCGAUUUCUUUCGAACUAAAUUGGCGUCACACCUAUACUCUACACCUUUGAUUAGUUUCGGCCGAAAGUUUUCAAUAAUCGUCACCAGACAUGGCGAAAAGCACUGUGCUUAUUUUUUCACAUGGCCCGCCUGCUUGUAGAUAGGCAAUUACCAAUUUGCUCGAAUUGGGUAGUAGGUGACGGGUCAAAUUGGCCUAUGUCCGCAAGCCAUAGAUUCUAAUAAUCGGUCUUCUUUUUAAUCUAAAUUAUUCAGGGGAGUAGGAAGAUUUGGCCAAUCAAAAAUGCACACUUGACCUGUCCUUGCACCAUAUACAAAAUGGUUUUCUUUGUCGACUUCCUUUGCACUUGCAAUUGAGUAAACUAUUGAUCACCUAACCUCCACAAGGAAGAAAGGGGUAAUAGACUAUUAUAUGUCCGAUGCCAUUAUUCACCCAAAUCAAUCUUUGCGCGUGGGAAUAUAAGAAACCUCAUAACAUUUUCCAUGCAACAACGGAAUUAGAAGAGCAAAAAGCACCAUCGCUCAGACAAAAUACUGCGAUGGGAAAUACUAUCGGUUCGAGUGGUAGAAGGAGGUGUUUUUGGGAAGGAUCAUUUAUGUGACUCUCUCUCCUCCGAAACUUUUUCAUAUUUGAUUAGUCAAACCUAAUUGCGAAAGUAAACCGUGAUGAUCUCACCCUGCAAUGCUGGUCAAGUACGCUGCUUUGGUUGACUUCCUGGCUGCCCACUGAUGAGGGCGGGUCCUGAAAAUUGCUGUCUCGGAUUGAAUCGAGCUGAGGAAUGUGGAGAAACCUUAUAACGAAUAUUGAUCCAGCUGAUGCUCGGAGGCACACCAUCGUAAAAGACAAAAUGUAAUAUUUGGUCUUUCUUUGUUAUAUUUGGUCAAAAGUGGGCUUUUCAUAUUUAAAGAAAGGAAAAAAUAAGAGUAAUGAUGGGACAGCCCGCACCGAGAGUGAAAGGAAACGGGAAAGAAAAGGAAGACGAAAGAGAAAAAGUAGAGAGGAAGAACUAGCGCACACACCUUGGAAUUCUCGUCGAGUUGGAUCAACUUCAUUUUUAUGAUAAAAAUUUACGGCAUUUGUUUGUUUAUUUGGAGUAGUUUUCAACAUCAGGAUACAAAUUCGAAAUUAUGUGAAAUUUAAACUACAAAUUCAAUUUUAAGAUGUGAUAUUACAUGGAAAUCAUAAUUAGGGCAUUAUGGAGUUAUGGAAAAAGAUUUGAAGUAACUUUUUGGUCAAUGUGAAAUUUUAGAGAUUUCUGCAUGAGCUCUACAUUAUGAUUUAAUUAAAUGGCAGAAAUAAUGUUCAUUGCUUAUUUGAUACAUAAAAUUUGAAUCGGGUAUUUAUUGCCCUUUUGUUUAUUUGAAAUAGCGUGGAAAGCAUUUUUGGAAACAAUUUACUAUUAUUGUGAAAUAAUUUGGGAAAUGCUUUAUUGCAUAAAAGCUAUAUGUAUUGAUUUGUGAAUUUGAUUUAUAAAGAUAUUAUAUUGCGAAAGGAUAUAUGUUUGAUAUUAUGAAAACUUUAUGAUAUCGAUUCUGAAUUGGUUUUGAGGAAGAAAUUGAUUUUUGAAAGAAUAUAUGUUUUUUGUUUGGUCGGUCAAAGGAUAUAUGUUUUGGUUUGUGUCAAAGUAUUUUGAUUAUGAGAUGGAUUUGGGUUUGGUAUUGUGGAUUAUUAGAAUAUGACGAUUUGAUAAUUAAUAUUGUUGCGAACUUAGUUAGGAGUUUUUAAAGCUUAAGGAUAUUGUUAUAGGCCAAACCACUAGCUGCUAACAAGCAGAGACAUUGCCUUGGUCAUGUUUCACUAGACAUUGUGUCGUGAUUAUGGUUGAAUAUUAAGCAUAAAAUGAAUCAAUGAAAUAAAUCAUUGAUGUAUGGUGUGAAAUUAAUCAUUGGUCAAUGAAAUAGAUCAUCGAUAUGUGAAUUGAUGAGAUUGAUCAAUAUAUUGGACCAUUGAUAUCUACUUUAAUAUUAUCGAUGAAAAGAGUAUUUCUUAUAUGUAUAAAGUUUUGUUCAAAAGAUAAAACUUGUUUUUGAUUUCAUACAUAUGCAAUACUGUGGAUUUGAAUUAGAUGAGUUUUGAUUUUGUACUGUAAACAUGCACAGUAUAUGCUCAAUCUGCUUAGAAGAGAUAUGCACUUCUUAUCGAGCUAUAGUUGCUUAUUUUCAACUUCUUUAGUUAUUGACAAGCAAGAACAGAGCGCUAAUGGCAAGGAGCUUUCGCUAGUUGUGUUUUGGAUAUGAGUUGAGAUAGUACGAUAUACUUAUAUUUUAAUAUCAAGUUUGGGAUUGAGAAUGCGUUCUCCAAGUAGAAGGGCAGCAGUAUCGUUUCCCCAUUUCCAUAGAAUUCAGGAUGUGGCACGCGCCUCGUAUGGAUCAAACUUUUCGAGUCAUGUCCGUGUGGACUUGUUGUAGGGGUCAAGGUCACCGCUACACUAACCGACCAGACUAUGAAGGGGUGCAAUUUUGGCCAGUUGCGAUCGACUUGCACGAUACCAAUUUUUUUUCCUUUGACAACGAAACGUCAUUCUAGUCACUUUCCGAGGGAGUCAGGUGGUGAAAGCCCAAUUCGGAAACUCAAUAGCGGAGUCAUGCGACGUGUUCGACAAGAGGAGGGAUCUUGAUGCUGCGUAAUGGCUUGCUGUACAACUUCAAUUGCUUUGUGAUGUUUUUCAACUCUAAAUCACCACAAAACACUGUAACUUUUAAAAGGAAUUCGGUUCCUGUUACAACCUGUGAGUCUGUGACCUGUCAUCAUAAUGGCAUAAGAUAUUUAUAACUUAAAUCGAAAUUCGGGUGAAAUUGCACUCGAUGACUCCAGAAAAUCAUAGUUGAAGAUUGCUAUCCAUGACGGCAGGAGUGCAACCCGAUGACUUGAGAAAUAUGACUUGAGUGCUAGCAAGCAGAAAGCCAGAGCAGCAACCAAAGCAGUAGGAAAAAAAAAAAAACAAUGUCGGUACAAGAUUUUCUUCUAGCAGCCCCUACACCAUUUACAUGGUCAUGGAGUAAAAUAUAUUUUAAGGAUGCAUUUGUUUCGCGAAAAAUAAAUUAAAAUAAAUCACUAAAAAAUUAUUUUUUCUAUUGUUUACAAAAAUAUAUAAUAAAAAUAUUUUCAUCAUACACGAAAAAAUGUUUAGACAUUAUGGGUCCGUUCGUUUCGUGAAAAACAACUUCUGGGAAAACAUUUUCUGGAAUUUCUGGUGUUUGGAUGAUGAAAAAUAGAUGGUCAAAGAAAAUAUUUUCCGGCCAAUGGAAAAUCUUCUUGUAAGAUUGUGGAAAAUGAUUUCCUUUUUUGAGAAGAGAAAAAAAAUUUCCAUAACUUCUUCCACCUUCUUUCUUUUCACCAACACAUUUAUGCUUUCUUUUUCUUUUUUGUUUUUUUUUAAAUCGAGUUUUUAAUUUUUCCUUUUCUUUUUUUCCAUUUCAUCUUCUUCCUUGGUGGCCGGCGACUAGCCACAAGCCAGCUCGAGCCUCGCCCUAGGCUAGCGAGGCUCCGCCUAGCUUGAUCUGGCGAAGCCGAGCUCGCCCGAACCCAGUGAGCUCUGGCCUCACCAGAUCGAGCGAGGCAAAGCACCGCCGGCCUGGGGCAGAGCUCGGGCCUAGCUAGAUCCGGCAAGCUGGGCGAGGCUUGGGCCUCGCCUGAGCUUGACAGAGGUUCGCUAGGCUCUGGCGAGCCACGAGCUCGCCGAAUUUGGCAGAGGAGAUCAAGCUCCCGAUCCAGGCGAGCCCGAGCUUUGCCGCCAAUUCGGGCAAGCUCGCGGCUCACCAGAGCCCGGCGAAACUCUGGUGAGAUCGGCCGAGCCUCGAGCUCGCUGGAUCUGGCGAUUGGGUCUUGGUCAGUCGCCAGACAGCCGACCAUCGUCAGGCAUGCGGCGAUGGAGGAAGGAGGCGGUGGCGGAGGAAGGAGAAGUCGGGAGGAAGAAGGAGGAAGGAAAAGAAAAGGAAAGAAAUAAUAAAAAAAACAAUUUUUUAAGAAUACAAAUAAUUAAAAACUCAUUUUUUAAAAAAAUAUAAAAAAAUAAAACUAAUUUUUUGGUCAAUUAGAAAUAUUAAAAUUCAAUUUUUGAUAAUUCUUCCCAAACAAUUAAAUUAACUAAUAACCGGUAGAAAAUAUUUUCCACUCGAAAUUUAGAUUAAGGCCAAACACUGGAAAAUAGAGUCAUUUUCCUGGAAAAUGACUUCUAGGAAAAUGUUUUCCAGAAAUAUAAUAUUUUUUGCGAAAUGAACGGACCCUAUAAUGAAAACAUUUUGUAUUGAAUAAUUAUUUCAAGCAAUACAAACGAUUUUUUUAGAAAAAUAUUUUCUAAAUUAUUCAUUUUAUAUUAAACAAAUGGAGCCUAAGUUUCUACUUUAUGAAUGAAAGGAAUAUAUUGACAUAUGGGCUUUCAAGAAAAGAAAUGUCUGGCAUUAGAAUCAUUUAAAAAUGGAUACUUUUUUUUUUAGAAGAGAAGUCCAAUUAACUCAACGAAUUAACAAUUUUUCUAACAAGGAUAUUAAAUGAGUCGCCCAACAUUGACAAUCAUAAUUCUUCAGGUAAAUAUGUGCCUAAUGUAAUAUACUUUUUAUUAACUUGUCACAUUUUAUAUCAUUGUCACGUCAUGUAACAACCACUAUAUGAUGUUUCAGAUCUAGCAGAGAGCACAUUAUUCUAGACCAGAGAAGGAUACAACAUCAAAAAAGGCCUUAUAGAGGAUAAUUUCACUGGAGUGAUCCCACUUGACACAAUAUCUUUCACAAACUAGACUCGACAAAGCUUAUUAGAUCCCCUGAAUCCGUCGAUUGAGAUCGAGCGGUAACGUACUAAUUAGGCACGGGGAGACUCGAUGGUUCACGGAAAGCGACUACUCCUUCUCACAGACCAAGGACUCGGGUGCAUCCGACGGACCUAAUAAAGACGGUCCUAAUACAGACCGGGCCAGAGCUCGACGACCUUCUUCCAAGAAGGCCUGCUCGAGAUGUCAUCCCACCACGCACUCACAUGCUUCCGGUCCCUUAUCAGGUACUCCUUCCCCAUUUUUCCCAUCAGGUACUGCGUUAACGAGAGGUGGCUCAGGUCGGCGAGGCUGAACAAAUCCCCCGCCAGGUACUUGCUCUUCGACAGCCUCUCCUCGUAGAUGUCUAGCACCUUACAGAGCUUGUCCUCGCUCUCUUUGAUCAGCUUCGGAUCCGGGGUAAGUCCCCUAAUCGGGUCAAAAACAAUUUUGUAGAUGAGGUCAGUGAUGGGCGGGCUGUAGCACUGGGCCUCGACUUCGAGCCACUGCUCGACGAGCCCCGUCUCCUCUAUCGUCUUUCCCAGCAGGUCGGUCCCUUGGUGCUUGUAUUUCUGGGCAUAAUACCUUGCGAUGGCCCGCGAUUCUGCAUGAACAAAAUAGGAUCCAUUACAGAGAGACAAAUCUUUACCCCCCCGCAUGAAAUUGACCAUAAUCUAGAACGCAACCUAAAAGAGACCAGCGCUAAGAUUUUGAAUUUACAAGCAGUCAGUCUCACAACGCUAGACCAACAGUAACAGUGCAGAAUCAGUGGGAUGUUUUUAUGACUAUGAAUUGAUCAUUCUGCCUCGACAUCGAUCAGGAAAGUAAUUGGACAAAAAUGCAGGUUCAAACAGAUAAUCGACGGCCUUCGGCCAACAUAGGAAACGGUAGUUUUCGAAGCUACUCUUUACUCUUCCUUGGAUACUCCCCAGAUAGCCAGCUGACGAGUCUGGCCUCUUUUCCUUAAACCUGAGCAAUCCUGACUGAUGGGGAAAAUACUCGAAAGACUCGCAUCUCACCGCUGAAACGCACGCCCAAUCCUUCCCAAUUCAGACUAUUUCGCCAUGGAGCUUUGAUUUAAAUCAUCCAUUGCCUAGGCAAAUGUUUCGACUUGAGAUUGAUCAGACUCUUAAAAAGUUCAAAUUAUAAAGACGACAACCUUAACUUUAACCUAACAAAUGCCGGAAGGUGCUGAGUUCCGAGCACAAAUCCUCCGCCCCUAAUGCAUUUUGAUUACACCAGCAUUUUUUUUCUUUUUUUUUUAGAGAGGAUAAAAGAACACUCGAAAGUUAUUGUCAAAGCACGCAAGUGAUUAAAGGAGUCGCAAAGCUAAAUCACCGGACGUCCAUGAGCUAAAACGAGCUGCUAAUAUCAACUGAAUAUUAUGUCGACAGAACUUGGGCUUCUCAACUUCCUGUGGUAUCUAUUCAUUGCAGAGCUUCUUAGACUUUAAACACCAAACCUUAACCCGACAAAUUACACAAGCGACAGCAUGCUGAAGAACCAUCCGUGCUUCCACAUGUUUCGGUCCAAGCGUCGGAGUGCGAUGUGAAAAUCCAAAAGUCGAGAGCAUUACCAAACAAAGUAUAGUCUCCAUCUUGAAUCACAGGAACCGAUCCGAAGGGCUGCAGGCACGCACACACAUGAUCCGAAUCAGAAACAUUCAGAUAAAGUACCUCAAUGCUAAGUACCCACAAAGAAAAUGUAAACUCCAGUUGGAUCCAAAGAGACGCGAGUUUCAAGAACAGAGACAGGCCUGGAGCUUGAGGAAUUCAGGGGAUCUGUUCUCGUCCUUGAAGAUAUCGAUGGGAACGGUCUCGAACUCGACGCCCUUCUCGAUCAGGCACACCAGCACUCGCUUCGGAUUUGCAUAAUCAGGCCCGUACACCUUCACCACCAUUUUUUCUCUCUUCUUCUCUCUUGUCGACGGACCAGUUGAUUUCCAAAUAUCUUUCAGGAUCGACUCUCCUUCUGCGUCUGGGUUUAUAAAGGAAGCUCUUAUCAGACGAUUAAACCAAGUCGCACACGAUACCGUCAUGCACCAACUUACUGUUCGCGACCAGAUUCCUUUGGAGAUCCAAGGUUAGAUAAUCGGUCAAUGUUGGUAUGCUACUAAUUACCUUCGUCGAAUUUGACUUCGCAUAUGCCUCGGAAGGGUUUGCAACAUUUCCUCUGACUUAUCUUUGAUAGAUUGUUCUCUGGCAAUGCGCACGCUAUCUGACAUAUUUGGACGGUAGACUUGAAAUUCAUUAUGCUCGCAUAAAUUUCCUCGGAGAAAAUGACAGUCUUUAAAACUUUAGCCUAAGUGCAACGUUGUCUUUGACUUUUAUUAAUUUAAUGAAUUCCUUGAAUUUUCUAAUGUUCAAUCUAAUCCUUAAAUCCUUCUGCAUUUUGCCAAUUAAAUUCAUCUAGCUGAUUUUAGCUAAAGAUCAUUGAACUAGACAUUAACUUUAUUUGGUAGUAUAAGUGACAUUGAUGUAAACAAUUUUUUAAUAAUUUUAAAUUUUUAAUAAUUUUUUUCUUUUUUCUUUUUUCUUUUUCUAAUCCUAGGUCGACAACCCUCACUUCAUCUAGGCUAGGGGCCCUCACCCAAAACCAGGUGAGGGAUGCCCUCGCCUUACCCAAGCCAAGCAAGGGUGUCACAGCCCUCGCCUAAAUCUAGGCAAAGGCCAACCCUCUCACUUGUGGUCUGCAACUCAAGUAACACUGAUACCAGUAUAUGACAUGCAACACGACAUAAGAUGACAUAAGAUAACAUGCGAUAUGACACAAUAUAACACGUCAACAUGUUUUUUCUAAAACAAUAGAGAAUUCCGAUACGUUAGGACGCAUUAUAUAUUAAAUAUAUAUUUUUAUAUAUACAUGAUAAAUUAUCAUUUUUAUGAUUAUUUUAAUAAAAUUAAUUUGAUUUAGAUUCACAAAUAAAUAAAUAAUAAAAAAGAGCAUAGAAUGAAUUUACACUAAAAACAUUAAUUUAUCAUUUGUUGAUAUGAUUCAUUGUUUCAAUUUAACAAAUCCAGCUAUAUUCCGUUCAAAUAAUCUUUAAAACUUGAAGGAAAAAAAUCAAUUCACAUUCCACUAUUAAAUUAACAUUUAACAAGAAGUCAAAAAAAAAAAAAAAAACAAUCCACAUUUCACCAUCAAAUAUAACAAUAAGUCUUUAUUUCUCCCUUUUAUUUUUUUUAUUUUUUAUUUUUUUUUACAUAUUUAUAUUUUGACUCCUCUUUUAGUGAAACUUUUCAAAAUUAACCUAAUGUGUGUCGAAAUCACAUGUUGAAAUUAUAAACUCACAUGUUGGAUCCUGUUGCGCUGGAUGUCGGAUUUUCUAACACCUGUUGACUACGUGUGGAAAUGUGUCGGAGCGUGUCAAAGUGUUUGACACAACACGAAAGAUCUUGGAAAAUGUCAAUGCUUCCUAGCCUGCAACUAGGGUUAGGAAAAAAAAUAAAGGAAAGGAAAAACAAACAAACAAAUAAAUAAAUAAUAUUUAAAUAUUAUUAAAAAUUGUGUAUGUUAGCGUUAGUCGUCGCCGGCCGUAUCACAUACAACAUCUAACAUCCACAUUAGUAAUUUCAUGUCAAAAUUGGUCGAAGGAACUCAAUUGGAAAAAGUCAAAGAUAUUUAAACUCAAUUAACAAAAUUAAAAAGUUUAUGACUAAAUUGGCAAAAUUACAAUAGAUUUAGAAAUUUUUGGAUAAUUUUUCCUCUUCCCUCGCAUGCAAUGCAGACUUAUCUCCUAGAAUGAGUGUUAACAGCUCAUCAAACACCAGUUCAGUGAGUGCUGGACAUGUGAACGAACAUUUAUGAAGUUGCUCUUUCCAAGUUGUAAAAGAUCCAUAAAAGUUGGUUAGUAGGUGGUUAAAUUUUAAUUUCACCAAAGUCACUGGCAUAGUACUAAUUAGCCGCGUACAUAGCCCGACAAAACACGACACCGCCAGGAAUAAUACAACACCAAAGAGGUCCACGACGCAAACAGCCCUAGUAAAUUAGGAACAUCUGCAUGCUAAAGAACCAUCCGUCUGUCCCCGUGCUCUGAUCUCAAGACCGCAAGAAAACAGCAAUAGAAAGAAAAGAACGAUGCAAGAAGCCAAGAGUCGAGAGCAUUACCGAACAGAGUGUAGUCGCCAUCUUGAACCACAGGAAGCGAUCCGAAGGGCUAGACAGGCGCGCCCGCACGAGAUCCGAAUCAGCGUCAAUAAGACAAGACACACUUCAAAUGCCAAGUACCCACGAAAGGAGACACGAUGAAAAGUCAAGCUGUCGAGAGUUUGACCGAAAGUGAAGUCGGACUUUCAAGAACGAACGGGACAGACCUGGAGCUUGAGGUACUCGGGGGCUUUGUGCUCGCCUUUGAAGAGGUCGACGCCGACGGUCUCGAACUCGACGCCCUUCUCGAUCAGGCACACCAGCGCCCGCUUCGGCGACGCAUAGUCAGGCCCGUACACCUUCACCACCAUCUUCACUCUCGCUC